CGUAGCUCAGUUGGCUAGAGCGUAGCUAUACUAAAGCCUUCUUUCUGGCGUGGGUUCGAAUCCCACCG
Molecule: transfer RNA, 68 nt
Filed under: Schistocephalus solidus
Lineage: Eukaryota; Metazoa; Platyhelminthes; Cestoda; Diphyllobothriidea; Diphyllobothriidae
Rfam family: tRNA
About the family: Transfer RNA (tRNA) molecules are approximately 80 nucleotides in length. Their secondary structure includes four short double-helical elements and three loops (D, anti-codon, and T loops).
Source: Rfam by way of RNAcentral